Molecule: ribosomal RNA, 460 nt
Filed under: uncultured bacterium
Lineage: Bacteria
Description: partial 16S ribosomal RNA
Rfam family: Bacterial small subunit ribosomal RNA
Source: RNAcentral
CCUACGUGAGGCAGCAGUGAGGAAUAUUGGUCAAUGGACGAGAGUCUGAACCAGCCAAGUAGCGUGAAGGAUGACUGCCCUAUGGGUUGUAAACUUCUUUUAUAUGGGAAUAAAACGUUCCACGUGUGGGAUUUUGUAUGUACCAUAUGAAUAAGGAUCGGCUAACUCCGUUCCAGCAGCCGCGGUAAUCCGGAGGAUCCGAGCGUUAUCCGGAUUUAUUGGGUUUAAAGGGAGCGUAGGUUGAUUGUUAAGUCAGUUGUGAACGGUUGCGGCUCAACCGUAAAAUUGCAGUUGAAACUGGCAGUCUUGAGUACAGUAGAGGUGGGCGGAAUUCGUGGUGUAGCGGUGAAAUGCUUAGAUAUCACGAAGAACUCCGAUUGCGAAGGCAGUUCACUGGACUGCAACUGACACUGAGGCUCGAAAGUGUGGGUAUCAAACAGGAGUAGAUACCCCAGUAGUC